RNAcentral lists this non-coding RNA (147 nucleotides) under Ditylum brightwellii. The record is from RNAcentral. Lineage: Eukaryota; Bacillariophyta; Thalassiosirophyceae; Lithodesmiales; Lithodesmiaceae.
AACAAAAUGGAGGGAGGGGGCAAACAUAUCUCAAUAAAAAACAGCAUUUGGAAGAUGUGGGUGUCCAUUUUGCAUGGUGUCUUGCUCAUCGUUUCUUUCCUUUUUUCCCCUUUCAACCUUUUCUUAAAUUUUCUGUUUGUAUUAUUU